RNAcentral lists this ribosomal RNA (253 nucleotides) under uncultured bacterium. RNAcentral's name for it is "partial 16S ribosomal RNA". It matches the Rfam family "Bacterial small subunit ribosomal RNA", at positions 524 to 776 of the family's 1533-position model. The record is from RNAcentral.
UACGUAGGAAGCAAGCGUUGUCCGGAAUCACUGGGCGUAAAGAGCGCGCAGGCGGUCGUUCAAGUCGCGUGUGAAAGCCCCCGGCUCAACUGGGGAGGGUCACGCGAUACUGAUCGACUCGAAGGCAGGAGAGGGAAGUGGAAUUCCCGGUGUAGUGGUGAAAUGCGUAGAUAUCGGGAGGAACACCAGUGGCGAAGGCGACUUCCUGGCCUGUUCUUGACGCUGAGGCGCGAAAGCUAGGGGAGCAAACGGG